Molecule: ribosomal RNA, 830 nt
Filed under: uncultured bacterium
Lineage: Bacteria
Description: bacterial SSU rRNA
Rfam family: Bacterial small subunit ribosomal RNA
Source: RNAcentral
UGACUNGAGUGCAGAAGGGGGGAGUGGAAUUCCAUGUGUAGCGGUGAAAUGCGUAGAUAUAUGGAGGAACACCAGUGGCGAAAGCGGCUCUCUGGUCUGUCACUGACGCUGAGGCUCGAAAGCGUGGGUAGCGAACAGGAUUAGAUACCCUGGUAGUNCACGCCGUAAACGAUGAGUGCUAGGUGUUAGGCCCUUUCCGGGGCUUAGUGCCGGAGCUAACGCAAUAAGCACUCCGCCUGGGGAGUACGACCGCAAGGUUGAAACUCAAAGGAAUUGACGGGGGCCCGCACAAGCGGUGGAGCAUGUGGUUUAAUUCGAAGCAACGCGAAGAACCUUACCAGGUCUUGACAUCCCGAUGCUAUUCUUAGAGAUAGGAAGUUACUUCGGUACAUCGGAGACAGGUGGUGCAUGGUUGUCGUCAGCUCGUGUCGUGAGAUGUUGGGUUAGGUCCCGCAACGAGCGCAACCCUUAUUGUUAGUUGCCAUCAUUAAGUUGGGCACUCUAGCGAGACUGCCGGUAAUAAACCGGAGGAAGGUGGGGAUGACGUCAAAUCAUCAUGCCCCUUAUGACCUGGGCUACACACGUGCUACAAUGGUCGGUACAACGAGUUGCGAGCCGGUGACGGCAAGCUAAUCUCUGAAAGCCGAUUUCAGUUCGGAUUGGAGGCUGCAACUCGCCUCCAUGAAGUCGGAAUCGCUAGUAAUCGCGGAUCAGCACGCCGCGGUGAAUACGUUCCCGGGCCUUGUACACACCGCCCGUCACACCACGAGAGUUUGUAACACCCGAAGUCGGUGAGGUAACCUUUUAGGGGCCAGCCGCCUAAGGUNGGA